Molecule: ribosomal RNA, 67 nt
Filed under: Paenibacillus antri
Lineage: Bacteria; Bacillati; Bacillota; Bacilli; Caryophanales; Paenibacillaceae
Description: Paenibacillus sp. SYSU_K30003 partial 16S ribosomal RNA
Source: RNAcentral
AUUGAACUACCCUUUUUGGAGAGUUUGAUCCUGGCUCAGGACGAACGCUGGCGGCGUGCCUAAUACA